AUCACUUUCUCAGCCUUUUAGUUAAGAUAAAGUGUACUAUUUGUUUUUAUCAGUUUAAUAACUAAUAUGUGAAUCAUAUAUUCGCUUUUGAUAUUAAGAGCAACUCCAA
RNAcentral lists this small nuclear RNA (109 nucleotides) under Zea mays. RNAcentral's name for it is "U2 spliceosomal RNA". It matches the Rfam family "U2 spliceosomal RNA". From Rfam's summary of the family: U2 is a small nuclear RNA (snRNA) component of the spliceosome (involved in pre-mRNA splicing). Complementary binding between U2 snRNA (in an area lying towards the 5' end but 3' to hairpin I) and the branchpoint sequence (BPS) of the intron results the bulging out of an unpaired adenosine, on the BPS, which initiates a nucleophilic attack at the intronic 5' splice site, thus starting the first of two transesterification reactions that mediate splicing. Lineage: Eukaryota; Viridiplantae; Streptophyta; Magnoliopsida; Poales; Poaceae. The record is from Rfam by way of RNAcentral.